This 253-nucleotide ribosomal RNA is filed under the name uncultured bacterium. RNAcentral's name for it is "partial 16S ribosomal RNA". It matches the Rfam family "Bacterial small subunit ribosomal RNA", at positions 524 to 776 of the family's 1533-position model. The record is from RNAcentral.
UACAGAGGUCCCAAGCGUUGUUCGGAUUCACUGGGCGUAAAGGGUGCGUAGGCGGUUUGGUAAGUUUGGCGUGAAAGCCCCGGGCCCAACCCGGGAAUGGCGCUGAAAACUAUCGAACUGGAGGAUUGGAGGGGGGACUGGAAUUCCUGGUGUAGCAGUGAAAUGCGUAGAUAUCAAGAGGAACAUCAGUGGCGAAGGCGGGUCCCUGGACAAAUCCUGACGCUGAGGCACGAAAGCUAGGGGAGCAAACAGG